UACAUGUGGGGCAAGCGUUGUUCGGAAUUACUGGGCAUAAAGGGUGCGUAGGUGGUUUGUUAAGUCACUGGUGAAAGUUUGCGGCCCAACCGUAAAAUUGCCUGUGAUACUGGCGAACUUGAGUGCGUGAGGGAUGGGGGGAACGAGCAGUGUAGCGGCGAAAUGCGUAGAUAUUGCUCGGAAGGCCGGAGCCGAAGGGGCCCCAUUGGUACGUAACUGACGCUGAGGCACGAAAGCGUGGGGAGCAAACAGG
This 253-nucleotide ribosomal RNA is filed under the name uncultured bacterium. Its description in RNAcentral is "partial 16S ribosomal RNA". It matches the Rfam family "Bacterial small subunit ribosomal RNA", at positions 524 to 776 of the family's 1533-position model. The record is from RNAcentral.